RNAcentral lists this ribosomal RNA (253 nucleotides) under uncultured bacterium. Its description in RNAcentral is "partial 16S ribosomal RNA". It matches the Rfam family "Bacterial small subunit ribosomal RNA", at positions 524 to 776 of the family's 1533-position model. The record is from RNAcentral.
UACGGGGGGAGCAAGCGUUGUUCGGAUUUACUGGGCGUAAAGGGCGCGUAGGCGGCGUGGCAAGUCACUUGUGAAAUCUCCGGGCUUAACUCGGAACGGUCAAGUGAUACUGCUGUGCUAGAGUGCGGAAGGGGCAACUGGAAUUCUUGGUGUAGCGGUGAAAUGCGUAGAUAUCAAGAGGAACACCUGCGGCGAAGGCGGGUUGCUGGGCCGACACUGACGCUGAGGAGCGAAAGCGUGGGGAGCGAACAGG